GUCGGGACUUUUAUUUUGAAAGGCCUUUUUUUUGUGGUGUAUAUAUGCUGCUGUGUCCUCACGCCCCCUUGGUGUCUGUCUCUCUGGGUUCAUUCCGUCUCCGAGCGGCCGUGUUUCACAACCCAGGCUGAGUGAGUGAAGAUGUUCGCGGUCAGAGCGGCGUGGCGGCGCUGUGCGGUCCGGCAGGCCCUCACGGUCCGGUCCAGCCUGAAUGGAGCCGUUGCUCCUCGGAGGCUCAUGUCGUCUGUCCCUGGCGGCACAGGCGAAAAUAUUCUGUAUGUAGUUCUGUGCGGUGGAGCUUUUGCUGGUGCCAUGGCAUAUGCCUACCAAACGGUGGCAUCAGACAGCACCCGCUUUUCUGACCGUAUGUCCGGGAUCCAGGCACGGCCCAAGGAUGACUGGAAGCCCAAACCUUGGCCACCCAAAAGCGAGGAGGAUGGCAAGGAAGAUGAUGCUGAGGAGGCAGAGGAAGCAGUUGAGGCUGUAGCAGAGGCUAAUGGAGAAGAGGCGGGACCUUUGGAGCUGGCUGCAGAAGUUAACGGAGAGGAGGCGGGCCCUGUGGAGACGGUCGCAGAGACGGUCGCAGAGACGGUCGCAGAGACGGUCGAGGUGGUUGUCGUGGAAGCAGUGGAAGAGGUGGCGGCUGUGGCUGAGGAGGCAGAGCAGGCGGAGGCUGCUGCAGAGGCACUGGAGGCUCCUGUGGUUGCUGCCCCUGCCCCAGAGGAGCCUGCAGCUGAGAGCAACGUCAGAAGUCCCAUGUUAGUUAACCCUGAUGAAGAAUGAGGGAUGUGCCUUCCCCGCCUGUCUGUCUCCUAUCUGUCACUUUGAUCUCACCUUUCCUUUGGACCAUUGGAUUCAUUGGCAGUGAUAGAGCCCUGGCUGUGACUCCUGAACAAUGCUGGUUUAUCACACUAUUCAGAUUAUGUGAAAUCUCUAUUUACAUUUAACUUUUUUAGGCAUUACUGGAACUUGUUUACUUCAGUUGAACAUACACUGCUUAACAGUCUUCAAUUACUCAGUGGAAUACAGAUUUUCUAUCUAUAUAUUUAUUCUUUUAUACACUUAUGACAGACACAGAUAGGGGAACUGUCCAACUCCUGGAUAAUUUUUGGAAUAUCUGGAUGUCUUGAUAUUUACAAUGUGAAUAUUGUGAAGGAUCGGUUAUAUUUUACCCUAUUUAGUUAGCAGUUCUGUCAUUUCUAAUCCACUGCAUCAUGGAUGGAGCUGGUGAAAGAAUUGUUUACCCUACCUCACUCUGGUUGGCCAUUCACAUUGCCAUGAUAUCAGCUGCUAUGUCAUCAGGCCAAAGACGAAAUUUUCAAAAUUCAAACAGAGCCACUAAUUUUCAGCAGUUGAGAUGUAAACAAAAGUCAUUAGAGUGAAACAGUUAAUUGUAGAGAACUUACGGACUCAGGUAUCUUUACAGUGGUGGUGAUAGGAACCGGGGUAAAGAUUUCCAAAUUACAAAUCUAGCAAUUUCACAUAUUUCUAAGUCGCUUAUUCUUAUUACCAAAACCACUUGAAAACUCUCCUGAGUUUUUGUAUGCAAUACAUUUUCUUUGGGACUGUUUUGCCUUCAGUUUCCUGAUCAUAACUCUCCACCACUCAUUUUUGAAAAAUGUUUUAGGCCAAAACCAUCUCUCAUAACUAUCUUAAAACAGUGUCUGAGGCAUCAGGCAGCAAAUUCCAAAUUAUUUCUUGUAAUCAUUUUAUGUGAGAAAAUCUUUGAGGCAAUAAGCUCUUCAAACGUCUGGUUCCUAUCACCACCACUGUGAACCAUUCUGAUUGGAAGUUUCUCUAGAGCUAAGCAUUUUAUAUAUGACCAUUCUAAAUGACCAUUUUGUCCGAUUCUUAAUCAUUUGAUUAUGCAGAUGUUUGGAAAUAUUGGUGGAAUUCCACUUUCAAGUACUGUCAUGUUUACACACCAGUCAGAGAACUUUCCAGCCCAACUCUUGGCUGUUCCUUUCUCAGGCACCUUUUGAAACAAAAUUCACUAUUUUUUUAGUCUUCAGUAAAAGCCAAAAAUGUGCAGAUAUUUCAGGAGCCUUUUUUUACACUGAGACAUAAUCAUAUUAAAACACUCCAUUAUUGGCAUGUAUAAGAAAUACUGGCCAGUUCCUACACCUUUCUACCUCACCUUAACUCUAGCUGCUGUCCUUCACAGUAUUUCUCCUAGAAAAAGAGAAAAAAAAGUCUUCUUCCUUUCACACUCCAUGAUAACCAGCAGUGGGAUAGUUUAUCUGUGGAAGGUUGAAGAUGAGAGCUGCGCUUUUACUAUUAAGCUAUUCAUUAUUCACUACAUUUUCACAACCAGCGAAGUUUCUUCCAUUUCCAGCUCAGCUUGCAUCCGCUAAUGUUAAUAUCAAAUGUUUUACACUUCUCCGAGGACCAGAAUUCAGUGUUCCUUUACCUUUUUUAAACAUCCAUUCUGUUACUAGAGGUCUCUGACCUUAGGUCAGUCUGUUGAUUGUCCAUCUACAUGUGGCCACUACUUUUAGGAGAAGCUUCUUACACUUCAGCUGCGCAGUAUUAUCCUAGUAAGGGUACCAGUAAGAGUAAAGCUUGUGUCCAGUUAUUGUUUCAGAGGCUUGUAGUCGAGGUUUUUGCUUUCCUAAGUCAACUAAAGCUUUCUAAGCCUUCGCAAUUAAAAAUUUGUUAUAGUUCUUGCAUGUGGGUCAUCUAGUAUGUAGUUUUUGGGGUUUUUUUUUGUUCAAAGAAGGGGCUCUGAAUGUAAACUUGAAUAAUGUAGUGUGGGUCUAUUCAGUGUGUCUGUCUUUGAAACUUUCCUGUUAUGGUUUGACGGAUGUGUAGUGUAGAGUUCUGUGCUAUCCUGAGCCUGGCCACUGCUUGAAUGUAGGCAGAGUAUUGUGUGUUUUAAAUAAAAAGGGAAUCAAACUUCUGUUUUUGUCCAGUACAUUUGUGUGUGUGUCACUGGCAGUGGUGAGUAUUCACUAGAUGUACUUUCAUGAGCAUCUUCAGAUGCUAAUACUUUUACUUUAAGUAUAUUUGCAAAGAAACGAAUCAACUACGUUUGACAUUUAUAGUUUUAUUUUAGACCAAAAGGAUCUCAAAAAGAGUAUAUUCGAAUGCAGAGGUUUGAACACACCCAGUCAAAUGUUUUCAUUUUCUAAGUGAAAAUACAUAAGCACAUCUAAAGAGAACAGUUAUGUAUGGCAUUUUAGCUGUAAUGUAAUGCAAAAUUGGGUAAAAAAAUGAAACUUGCCAUAACUUCUGCACAAUCCACAUUUUAUAGUUCUUUUUCUCCCAACGUGUUAAAUUCAGCAAAUAAACAGUAAUUUUGCAUUAAAAUGUGCCAGAGUGUGUUCUCUGCAGAGGAAAUGCUUGCACACUUUCACUUGGAAAAUUAACAAGAUGUGUCAUUUGACUUUUACAUACAAUUGUAUAUAUAUUAUAUGGUCUGUAGUUAGGGUGUAGAUUUAGGGUGCUGUCAGAUUGUGGCAUUUUCAGUCUCUGGUACAUCAAGUUAGACUUCAUAUGAAACAAAGAGGUCAAAAUAAGUGUGCGUGAUGCAAAAACCUCAAUAAUAAC
Pygocentrus nattereri (red-bellied piranha) is the source of this 3549-nucleotide long non-coding RNA. The record is from Ensembl. Lineage: Eukaryota; Metazoa; Chordata; Actinopteri; Characiformes; Serrasalmidae.